UAACAGGAUUAGAUACCCUGGUAGUCCACGCCCUAAACGAUGUCAACUGGUUGUCGGGCCUUCAUUGGCCUGGUAACGUAGCUAACGCGUGAAGUUGACCGCCUGGGGAGUACGGUCGCAAGAUUAAAACUCAAAGGAAUUGAUGGGGACCCGCACAAGCGGUGGAUGAUGUGGUUUAAUUCGAUGCAACGCGAAAAACCUUACCUACCCUUGACAUGUCUGGAAUCCUGAAGAGAUUUGGGAGUGCUCGAAAGAGAGCCAGAACACAGGUGCUGCAUGGCCGUCGUCAGCUCGUGUCGUGAGAUGUUGGGUUAAGUCCCGCAGCGAGCGCAACCCUUGUCAUUAGUUGCUACGAAAGGGCACUCUAAUGAGACUGCCGGUGACAAACCGGAGGAAGGUGGGGAUGACGUCAGGUCAUCAUGGCCCUUAUGGGUAGGGCUACACACGUCAUACAAUGGCCGGGACAGAGGGCUGCCAACCCGCGAGGGGGAGCUAAUCCCAGAAACCCGGUCGUAGUCCGGAUCGUAGUCUGCAACUCGACUGCGUGAAGUCGGAAUCGCUAGUAAUCGCGGAUCAGCUUGCCGCGGUGAAUACGUUCCCGGGUCUUGUACACACCGCCCGUCACACCAUGGGAGCGGGUUCUGCCAGAAGUAGUUAGCCUAACCGCAAGGGGGGCGAUUACCACGGCAGGGUUCGUGACUGGGGUGAAGUCGUAACAAGGUAACCA
This 727-nucleotide ribosomal RNA is filed under the name uncultured Sphingomonas sp. RNAcentral describes it as "bacterial SSU rRNA". It matches the Rfam family "Bacterial small subunit ribosomal RNA", at positions 770 to 1502 of the family's 1533-position model. Lineage: Bacteria; Pseudomonadati; Pseudomonadota; Alphaproteobacteria; Sphingomonadales; Sphingomonadaceae. The record is from RNAcentral.